Molecule: ribosomal RNA, 902 nt
Filed under: Triticum aestivum (bread wheat)
Lineage: Eukaryota; Viridiplantae; Streptophyta; Magnoliopsida; Poales; Poaceae
Description: partial small subunit ribosomal RNA
Source: RNAcentral
GUCAAACCCUAGUCCCAGGUCCUCUCCCCCUCUCUCUCAAAUCCUGUCGGCGCUGGAGCCACAGAUCCUGUCCAUGGCCAGCGAAGGGAGGGCUAGCGGAGGUCCAUCGAGUGGAGCCACGGAUCCCGUCUCCACUCGCCUCGUCUCCACGGAUCCCGUGUUCACCCGCCUCGUCUCCAUGGCCGUCCGUCGGGGCUGGGCACGAUCACCGCCCUGCUCGUGCUCCUUCCUCUCCUCCUUACAUCUCCCUUUCUCUCUCGGUUCUCUCUAUCUCUCUCACCCUCUUCUUUUCUCUUCCCCGACAGGAGCAGGGAGCAGCACCAAAGCCACCAUCCCGCCGCCCAUGGAGGUCCAUCUCUCUUUCCAUUCACCGGCGACGUCCACGUGGAUCCGAUGACGAGCUGCGCCGCCGCGAGCCCUAUUCGAUCCAGCGCUGCAACGGCUGCGUCCCCGUUGACCCUCGUCCACGCCAACGUGGGCUAGCCUCCACCGACGCCUCCUACUGGCCCAGAUCCACAGCGCCCCGAGGAAGGCCAGCGGGGUUCCGUUUAGUGGUGGGGCCACAGAUCUCGUCGGUGGCCAAUUUAGGCGGCGGUCGGGGACCCACGAUGGCGAGAGAUGGUGGAGGAGGGUGGCACGCGCCUCCCUCGGGCCUCCUUCGACACUGCAGCGGCGGUGGUCCAAGCGCCCGGCGAGCUCCGGCGCUGAUUCUGUUUGCUCCGGCAAGCUUCGGUGCCGAUUUCGUUGGCUCCGGCGAACCCAUCCUCGUCCUACAGAGGGCGGCCUUUAAAUUGUUGACCCGACGUUUUUAACACUUUACGCAAUGUAAUUAGCUAAGUAUAGCUGGUAACUAUGGACUGAUGGCUAAUUAUAUUUGAGAUGAGACCGACCUUAAGUAGGAG